This 2327-nucleotide long non-coding RNA is filed under the name Homalodisca vitripennis (glassy-winged sharpshooter). Its description in RNAcentral is "uncharacterized LOC124358074". The record is from RNAcentral. Lineage: Eukaryota; Metazoa; Arthropoda; Insecta; Hemiptera; Cicadellidae.
GACGUCAUACAUACACUAAUCUAAUUCACAGUGGUUAAACGGCCAUGAACAGGUUGUAAAGUGGAAGAUAUUUUUUAGUUUGUGUACUAUUAAGUAAUAACGAUACAUUAUGUAUUAUUUGACAUCUUCUGGAUAUAUUACAAGUAAAGAAAAUUAUUAUUUAUUAACAACAAUUGAUCAAAGCCAACCGAAAGAUAGGCUUGUUAGGAACCACGUGAGGGAGGAGCUGCAAAAUUCUUCAUAUAUUUGAUACGACAUAUUAGUGCAAUGUCUUCAGUGUGGUUUCCGGCUAGAGGAUUUUCAUGAUGGAUACAGGAAAGACACCUUUUGCCAAGUUAUGGAAAAACUACCAUGUGAUUGAAGGUUACCAAACUACCAUGUGAUUGAAGGAAAUUGACCUGUUCUUAUACGCUCAGCCAUUUCUCUUAUUGGAAGAAGGAAAUAGUACCACUGUUAAAGUAUUUUUGGCAAGUGGAAAAGCAAAAAAUACCUCAGCCUCACCAAAACUAUCCAUACGGUAUUCUGAGUCAGCUUUGACAGUAAACUAAGCCUAAGGACCUGUUAUUGGCUCAUGAACUUAUUCCUCAGCAUCUUUGUUGUGAACAUCCACAUAGGGUUGACCAGAUCAGUCAGUUUACUUGCUUUUAGUAGAAGUCCUGAAUUAUAUUAGUGUUUUGUCAUGUUUAAUAGGUUGGACCACUACACACCCUUUCCCACAAUUGUUGUAAUUGGUAUGUAAGUGUUAUUCAUCUAUAGAAUCAUUUAAUUUAGUUUGAGUUUUUACUUGUUUGUAAGUUACAGCAAUAUGACACUACCCCUACAAUAAUGUAUUAUAAAAUUUCAACAUAAUUUGAACUGUUGGAAUUUUUAGCAAAAUCAUGUAAUGUAAAACUAUUACUAAAUCAUGUAAUGACAACUGUGCCAUGUUACCAGAGUGUAAUAUUGAUUAUCUCUUAAGUUUAAAAGUAAUUUGUUGUGUGAUUAUUCUAAAUUGCCUAACGUAUUGCAGUUUUUACGACUGAUAUAAGACCACUGCUACUAAUUGAAUUAAUAAAUGUUUUAUUGUUUAAGAUUAAAAUAACCUUCAGCUAUUAUAAAGUGUUAUUCAACCACCGCGAAGGGACAACGCUGUUGUCCAUUAUUAGAAGUAUUUCAUUACCUUAUAAUUUGGACACUGUAUUACCAUUUUGGCACAAAAUUAAUAUGAAGCUACUAAUACCAUUAUUUAUUAGACUUUGUAUUGUUGAGAAGUAAAUAAAAUUUCAACUCUUAGACAUUAUAAUUCAACUAACCCUAAGUGAUAAUACUGUACUAUAAUUGUGGAAUAUUAUGUAAAAUCGUUUGAUUAACUUUAUGAAAUUUAGAGGUAAUGUAUGCAAAAUUUGUUCUAAUUUGGCCACUGUUGCCAUUUUUUCCAAAAGAAUUAACUGUACUAUUACUAUCUGUAUUACUAGAUCAUUGUGUAAUAGAUGAUCACAUAUUUCAGCUCAAAUAAACUAGUCAUUAACUAUGUUAAGUGACAAAGCUCUUGUGAAGCAGUUGUCAUGUAAUGUUGUGAGAUCAUUUUGAUUACCUCAUGUGUGGUUUCUAGAUCUAAUAAAGUGUUAUAUCUCUGCUAAAUUGCCUACUGUGUUGGCACCUUUAGCAAAAACAUAAUGUAGAAUUACUAUUACCUCUAUUAGUAGAACAUUCAUUCUAUAAUUGAAGAACACGUAUUUAAACCCAAAUAAACCUUUCCUUAACUAUGUUUAAGUGACAAAGCUCUUGUGAAGCAGUUGUCAUGUAAUGUUGUGAGAUCAUUUUGAUUACCUCAUGUGUGGUUUCUAGAUCUAAUAAAGUGUUAUAUCUCUGCUAAAUUGCCUACUGUGUUGGCGCCUUUAGCAAAAACAUGUAAUGUAGAAUUACCAUUACCUCUAUUAGUAGAACAUUCAUUCCAUAAUUGAAGAACACGUAUUUAAACCCGAAUAAACCUUUCCAUACUAUGUUUAAGUGACAAAGCUCUUGUGAAGCAGUUGUCAUGAAAUGUUGUGAGAUCAUUUUGAUUACCACAUGCGUGGUUUCUAUAUCUAACACAUUGUAAAAUUUGUACUAAAUUGCCUACUGUGUUGGCACCUUUAGACAAAAACAUAAUGUAGAAUUACUAUUACCUCUAUUAGUAGAACAUUCAUUCUAUAAUUGAUGAACACGUAUUUAAAUACGAAUAAACCUUUCAUUAACUAUUAAGUGACAAAGCUCUUGUGAAGCAGUUGUCAUGUAAUGUUGUGAGAUCAUUUUGAUUACCUCAUGUGUGGUUUCUAGAUCUAAUAAAGUGUUAUAUCUCUGCUAAA